AGAGAGAAAAGGCUAAAUAUGACCAAAUUAAGAAAGUUCACAACUGAGAGAAUUCUGACCGAAGAUUCAAGUGCUGCCAGUACAAAGGAACAGAUUGACGGACCUGUUUCACAGGAUUAAGCUUUACAGUUCAUGAGUCAGUUUAAAUGUAUUAUUCUUAUUGAGUUGUAAUUUAUUGCUUUCCUAGAUUGAUUAUUUAGAAAUAAUACUGAACUGAGUUAACUUCAAGUUUGGGAUAACUCGAAGUGGGUUCAACGGUCAAGGGUGAUUAUGGAGUUAUAGGAAUUAUAGUUUAUAAUUUCAGUUAUUGAGGUAUAUGAAUUAGAGUUUAUAAUUCUUAGUUGUUGGUUACAAGAGUUUUGUAAUCAGUCGUUGUUGAGGCUCAGAGUUGUUUAGUGAAGUUGGGGUUAAAUCCUGUAGAGGUACAGGUUGUGUUUUUUUACACUUUUUUGAGCCGGAU
This 460-nucleotide long non-coding RNA is filed under the name Capsicum annuum. RNAcentral describes it as "long non-coding RNA (CANN_LNC019972)". The record is from RNAcentral. Lineage: Eukaryota; Viridiplantae; Streptophyta; Magnoliopsida; Solanales; Solanaceae.